GGACAGUGCAACCGCUAGCACCUCUGCAGCCAGUUUCCCCUGUGCGCUCCCUCAAUCACUGUCCAUGGAAAAGGGCUAUUUCACACUUUAACGAAGGACUCCAUUUCAACAAGUCACCAGAGAGUUGGAGAAAAAAAAAAUAAAGCACAAAAAAGAAAGCAAGAAGGAAUUGCAACAAGGAGGACAGGAGGAAGGAACUGAGAGACAGACAUCACCUCCUGCGAUCUACUCCCCCAGUUAAAGGAGAGAGAGAGAAAGAGAGGACAGGAGGGAAAAACGGAAGUCGCUGGGAUAUUCGUUUUUUUCUUUCGUUUUGUUUUUUUCUUUUUCCUCAUUGUGGUGCUGGGAGGCUCGUCUUCUUUUCACCUGUUUGCGCUCUCCAUCAUUUGCCUCCUGAUUUAUUUCUCCAUCUACAUGGUGUACAAUUUUGUCUACCUAUGACACACACUGGAUCAGGGAAAGAAGGGGAGAGGGGCUUUUUUCCGUUCUUUCCUUUCAUUCGCUUUCCAGUGGCCCUUGGUUCUGACUUUGAUCCGACUUCACUCCUCCAUCAGUCCCUCCUUCCCAUCUCCGGUCGGACCAUCCCUCUCUCCAUCCAUCCUGCCCCCCUCCAACAAAAAAACUCUGGCAUUCACUGAAUGAAAGUUGGACAGAAUUCUUAAAAAAGUCUACAGUCUACCACAUUCCUCUUCUUUUAGUUGUAUCAUCCUUUCUUUCCCCCCUCUUUUCCUUUUUUCCUUCCCUUGGUCCUCCAAUACCUGUCCUUUCACAUCACUCCUUUUUUUCCGGAUGCUUUAAAGUUCCUCUAGGACAUCGUUGGAAAGCCUGUGAUUUGGCUCUAUGGACAUGUCAGUGGAGAUCCUCUUGUGUUUCUUGUAUUUUCUCUGUCCCAUUUGUCCAUCACCCAGAUAUCAGUGACACACUGCAGAAAAGGUUGCAAUGUGAUGCAAUAAGGAGGCAGUGGAGGAUGCAGGUGGGGAUCUUCAAAAAGAACUGAACGACAGCUUGAGACCUACAUCAGUGAAGAUCUAAAGAUAUUUCUUCUUCAAAAAUAGUAUCUUUUUGAGAUACCAAGAAAGAAGCCAAAAGGACAAAACUCACUGUCAGCUGCUUGCAAACUUUCAUUUUUCGGCUCACUAGUGUUGACUCAUAUCAGUUGUUGUUUUUUUUUGUAAGAAGACGAUGCCACCAGAGACAUAAGCCUCAGGAGUGCUAUCCAGGGCAUUUAGAUGCAUUUUUUGUAUGUGUAUUUUUACUAAAAGAGACAGACAUUU
Ictalurus punctatus (channel catfish) is the source of this 1274-nucleotide long non-coding RNA. Lineage: Eukaryota; Metazoa; Chordata; Actinopteri; Siluriformes; Ictaluridae. The record is from Ensembl.